GCAUCCCCAGACGCCCGAGUUCCCGCGGCUCAGCAGGACGCGGGAGGACGGUGCGCUGGAGAGAGGGCGCCAAAGGCGACGCGCCGGCGACCAGCUCCUGGCCGAGCCCCGGGGCCUGCAGGAACCCGCCCUUCCCCCCCAACCCCGCGCUGGCCGCUGAGCCUCGGGACCUGAGCCUGGAGAACUCGGCCCCAGGGCGCCGCCUAGAGGUCGGUCGCGGCCUCGGCCUUACUCCCCGGCGACCACAGAGCUGCCUGCGCCAGCUGCCGCCAGAAAUUACAAACAAAACAAAACAAAACUAAUUCCAAGCUUGGCCCGGAGGCUAGGCUUUUGGCACCUCUGACUUUUCCGAAACGGCCUCCCCUCUGCCCUAUAAGAAAGGACCUGUGUUCUGCGCUGCCUCUUAUGAUCUAAGCUGUCCAGCCCCCUCCAGUGGUGCUAGAACUGCUUUCUCUUCAAGGAAGAAGAGAAGCCAGAAGUCCCUGAAUCUUGCAGCUUGGCCAUCGAUUUUCUGACUAAUUUGGAGAUGGACGUGUUUUUGGAAGAGUAUUUGGAAAACCUUUUGGGGUGAAAAGAAGUUCCUCCGUGGCCUCUGCUCGCUGAGUAACCGAGCUCAGUGAUGCAUGAACACUGCUCUGGAAUUUGAAAGUUGGCUGCUCUGGGGCCAGGUGACCUUGAACAGAUACAGUGGGCACCUGUAGAAAGGGUCUGAGGGGUCUGUUGGCUCUGUGCAGACUUUAAAUUUUCAGACUGAGCAGUGGCCUGGGCUCUGGGGAUGAGGGCUGGGAAGGCGCAAAGCUCCUAAAAAUGCUCGCAAAGUGUGUGCGUGCGCACAGGUGUGUUGCACAAAAGCUGUGGUGUCUUCCAUUUUUCCAGAACCCCAGGGAGUGGCAGAGACCAAGCUGGUAAGGGCUGGGAGCCAGCACUGCCUCAGCCCCAUGCCAGGCGCCCCAGGAGGGGAUGGAGGUCAGCCCUGAUUAGCCUGGCAGCUGCUGACCCCUUCGGCCUCCCCUCUGGCUCCUCUCUGGCUCCCAGAAGCAGAUCCUAAUAUAAGUGACUGCAUUUUAAAAUUUAAAAAGUAUUGUAUGAUACACAGCAAAACUAGGGAAUUGGGAUAUGUAAGGUGGAGGAGAUCUGGAGGUCUCCCAGGCAAAUCCUGGAAUGUGAAUGUUGGAUGGGAAGAAACUGCUUCCUGUGCUCCCACUGCUAAGAGCUCCCCCUUCCUCGCUCUUGGUGCCAGGAAGGGGGCGAGGGCACCCCCUCCACCACCACAGCACUGCUACCUCCCGGCCAGGCUGGGGCCGAGCAGGACAGCACACUUAGCCUUCCAGAAAAAUUCAAAAGUGCUAGGACACAGCCUGGUGUUUUC
Molecule: long non-coding RNA, 1369 nt
Organism: Heterocephalus glaber (naked mole-rat)
Lineage: Eukaryota; Metazoa; Chordata; Mammalia; Rodentia; Bathyergidae
Source: RefSeq, a predicted model, not a curated record